GUCAGCUCUACUUCUUUCUUCUCUGGUUGGAGUUUCAGCACUUCCAGGAGGAUGGAGGUCUUUCUCUCUGAGAGGUUUAUGGACCAGACUGCAGGAGCUGACUGGAUAACUGACUGUAAUGAUGAUUUUGACCGUCUAUUUCCCUAUGCACAGUUUUUUGGAAUUUCUCCUGUGGUGUCAUGAGCCUGAGCCUGAGUGUGAGAGAGUGAGAGCACUCUGCACUUUGGACACUUUGGAUCUGCUGCCCAGAGUUCCUUUUCCCCCUGCACAUUGUUGAGAUUGUUGUAAAUAUUUUUGGCACUGUAAAUAAACACACUGUUGAGCUCCUCCAACUCUACGUCUGAAUCCACCCACUUGUUAGCCCUGACACUAAGGCUGCGUUCACACUGCAGGUCUUAAUGCUCAAUUCUGAUUUUUUGAUCAAAUCCGAUUUUUUUUGUCUGCUUGUUCACACUGCAAAUAAAAUGUGACAGCAAACGCGCUCUAGUGUGAACCCUCAAAGCGGCCCGCAUGCGCAAAAGAAGACGUCACAUACAACGUGCUCUGUUUAGACCCAGAGCAAACAACAUUGUUUGACUGAUGGCCCUUAAUAUAAAGACUUGUUUCGGACUUUACGUUUCCCAAUUUUGCUUUAAGUUGUAAAGUUAUUUUGUUAUUUACAUAUGGCCUAAUAAUGGUCCUUAUUGCUGUUUUAGAGAGUUUUAGAGAGCGGUGCUUCAAAGGAUAGUUGCAGAUUUCUGUCAGAAUCUGCAGAUUAUACAGAACAAAUAAAAUGUUCACUUUUCUCCAACGUUGUCUUCCCAACAGUUUCACUGACAUCUACACUGGAUGGCCAGGAAGCGUUCACGAUGUCUUCUCCAGAGCUGAUAAUUGGCGUCUGUCUUGUGUGAGUGACGUAAAAGACGGAUUUAAUGCGACAUGACUGUUCAAACAGCAGUCGCUUUCUAAAACAUCAGAUAUGUAUCGGAUUCAGUACCACAUACGAAAGUGACCCAGGACGGAUUUGAAAAUAUCGGAUCUGAGCUGUUCACACUGUCAUACCAUGAUCGGAUAUGGGUCGCAUAGGGUCAAAAAAGUUGGAUUUGAUGCGCUUUUGCCUGCAGUGUGAACGUAGCCUAAGAGUUCAGGCUGUGGUAAAAAGGUUGUUAGAAUUUUACAAACUGUUUCUGCCCUCUAUGCUGUAUUUCUAUGUAUGUUUGCACAUGUUUCAGCUGAAGAAAAGGUCUA
Molecule: long non-coding RNA, 1227 nt
Organism: Oreochromis aureus
Lineage: Eukaryota; Metazoa; Chordata; Actinopteri; Cichliformes; Cichlidae
Source: Ensembl